RNAcentral lists this ribosomal RNA (240 nucleotides) under uncultured bacterium. Its description in RNAcentral is "partial 16S ribosomal RNA". It matches the Rfam family "Bacterial small subunit ribosomal RNA", at positions 524 to 762 of the family's 1533-position model. The record is from RNAcentral.
UACGAAGGGGGCUAGCGUUGCUCGGAAUUACUGGGCGUAAAGCGCACGUAGGCGGCUUUCUAAGUCGGGGGUGAAAUCCUGGAGCUCAACUCCAGAACUGCCUUCGAUACUGGAGAGCUCGAGUCCGGGAGAGGUGAGUGGAACUGCGAGUGUAGAGGUGAAAUUCGUAGAUAUUCGCAAGAACACCAGUGGCGAAGGCGGCUCACUGGCCCGGUACUGACGCUGAGGUGGCGAAAAGCG